RNAcentral lists this ribosomal RNA (440 nucleotides) under uncultured bacterium. RNAcentral's name for it is "partial 16S ribosomal RNA". It matches the Rfam family "Bacterial small subunit ribosomal RNA", at positions 338 to 795 of the family's 1533-position model. The record is from RNAcentral.
CCUACGUGGGGCAGCAGUGGGGAAUAUUGCACAAUGGGGGAAACCCUGAUGCAGCGACGCCGCGUGAGUGAAGAAGUACUUCGUUUUGUAAAGCUCUAUCAUCAGGGACGAAAAUGACGGUACCUGAGUAAGAAGACCCGGCUAACGACGUGCUAGCAGCAGCGGUGAUACGUAGGGGGCAAGCGUUAUCCGGAUUUACUGGGUGUAAAGGGAGCGUAGUCGGCAGUGCAAGUCUGGAGUGAAAGGCCGGGGCUCAACCCCCGGACUGCUCUGGAAACUGUACGUCUGGAGUGCAGGAGAGGUAAGUGGAAUUCCUAGUGUAGCGGUGAAAUGCGUAGAUAUUAGGAGGAACACCAGUGGCGAAGGCGGCUUACUGGACUGUAACGGACGUUGAGGCGCGAAAGCGUGGGGAGCAAACAGGAUUAGAUACCCGAGUAGUC